ACAGGCGUUGCCUCCGCCAGAUCCCCCGCCGCCAUCACUUGCAGGUAACCACCACAUGUUAACUAGGGUUUCUCAACUUCUUCACCUUAGUUGUGGUUUCUAAUUUGGGGGAACACACAGUUUAACAAAGAGAUUGACAAAUUAUUUAGAUCGGUUUCUAAUAUGUGAAAAAAGUUGGAUCUGUUUCUGAUUUGCAGUGCUGGGAGAGAUGAGAUGAAAUGACAUGAGAUGGGAGCCACUAUAUAGAACAACAACAAUGAAGAUAUUUCCAUUGAGAAAAGGUUUUCUAUUUCUUUAUUUUAUUUUAUAUUUUUCAAUUUAAAUAAGAAAAGUCAAAAAACAAAUACCAUGUACACGUCCGUGACAUAUAAAAUGGACAGUGGGCAGCUCUUUAUUG
This 397-nucleotide long non-coding RNA is filed under the name Lathyrus oleraceus (garden pea). RNAcentral's name for it is "Pisum sativum (pea) long non-coding RNA (PSAT_LNC010023)". The record is from RNAcentral. Lineage: Eukaryota; Viridiplantae; Streptophyta; Magnoliopsida; Fabales; Fabaceae.